RNAcentral lists this long non-coding RNA (1252 nucleotides) under Malus domestica (apple). RNAcentral describes it as "long non-coding RNA (MDOM_LNC015188)". The record is from RNAcentral. Lineage: Eukaryota; Viridiplantae; Streptophyta; Magnoliopsida; Rosales; Rosaceae.
UAAUUUGUUAGAAAUGUACCACAGGAUUAGAUGAAUUGACUUGGGUAUGUCUAUUCAUUAAUAUAGCUUGCUUCUUCCAUUCCGUUCUUUGAGUGAGAAAUUUUGAAAAAACAAAUGGAUGACAACUUUCUUAUUUUGUUCAAGUUGAAGAUUACUUAUAAAGAAAAGUUGUCUAUUUCAAUCUAUCCAUUUUUGUGAAUGGUGAGGAUUAGGAAAUACUAGAUAGUAAUGCCCGCACUUUGCUGCGGGAUUACAAAUUGCAUGAAUAAUUAUGUUUGAAAGACUACCAAAGUUAAAUCUAAUGAAUUGCUAAAUCAUGAGGAAAUGAAAGGUUUGCAAUUAGGUGCAAUCGAACCCAUUAGGCCAAAUGCUAAAACAAAACUGAAAAAUAUAGACCACAGUUUUUAAAUCGAUAAGAAAAUGAUUACAUUAGAAACAACCACACAUUGUUGAUUUUAGUUUGUAAAUAUGUUGUUGUUCUUAAGUCUUAACCGAGAUAUGAUUUUCAGCUGCAAACAAACUUAAUCAAUGAAUACCAAAGAAUAGAAAAAACUUGUAAUCCUUGUAUGCAACUUUGGAGAUGAUGUAAUUUUGUCAGCUACAAGGACUGAAAAUCCAUCAAACAGAAUAAAUAGUUAACUUACUUGUAAGCCUUGAGCUUUAUAUAACCUAUAAAAAAAAUAAAAAUAAAAAGGCACUGUGAAAAAUAACAGAAAAAUUAUUGAGAGUAACACAAUUUACACCAAUAAACUACCAUUGAAUUUUAAUUUUGAAGUAACUUCUCCAUAUUCUUCAAACCAUUAAAACAAUAUUAUUUACAUACAUGUGGAAAUCUGUUUAUAACCCUAGAAAGUGUUUUAACUCCUGAAGUUGAAACCAAAAUCAAAUUAAACCAAAUGUAAGAUCUGAGGCUAGAAACAAAACCCCAAAAGCCGCAAACCCGAAAUUUGAACAGAAAAAACAUGACAAAGAGCACCACAGGUAAUUUGUCCGAAUACGGUGAAUUCCACAUGCAAUAUUUGGUCGGAGAACACAUGACAAACAGUGAGCACCACGAACUUUUCAGCAAGCACCGCAUAUAUGAUUUCAUUGUAUUUAUGAACAAUUUAAAAUGGAAUGUGAUAAAGAAGUGAAACUACAUGUACCAUUAAUUUAGAGAUUGUGGUGAUGAAAAGCAGUGAGCAUCACAUUAUCUAAUCUUUAUUGCAUUCAUCUACACACUGGAUAUUCCAGGCACAUCAAGCUAACCAGU